GGGGAUGAUCGGCUUCGACGGAGGUGGUUGACAGUCGACUGCGAGCCGAGAGGCGCCGAUCUCGAGAAAUCAGCGCACGUGUCAAGUGCCAACCGCACAAACUACGCUGCUCUCCCGCUCGCGGCCUAACCCCGCGAUUUGGUAGAGCUGUCCCCUAAAGGGACACGUCGCCCUCCGCGCCCUCCUCUGCGGACGGGAACGGCGGCGAGAGAAUCGCAGAGGUGCGGCACGCCGGGCCACUCGACGUGCUCAAGACGGGCUCUCGGGCCCGAGUGGCUGGUCUGCCGAUGAGCCCGCUCGCCGGCGCCCGGCAGGCAAGAUCAUAGGCGGGCUACGCUCGUAGAUGUCGGCUGAUCGAAACUUUCGGACGCGGGUUCAAUUCCCGCCAUCUCCACCU
Molecule: transfer-messenger RNA, 397 nt
Filed under: Patescibacteria group
Lineage: Bacteria
Also listed under: 1 other name
Description: p Patescibacteria X29 Standard tmRNA
Rfam family: transfer-messenger RNA
About the family: Bacterial tmRNA, also known as 10Sa RNA or SsrA, is named for its dual tRNA and mRNA-like properties.
Source: RNAcentral